CGAUUAAAGUAAUGUGCAGUCUAACCUGCCCCCUGAGAGUUUUAAAGGGCCGCGGUAUUUGGACCGUGCUAAGGUAGCAUAAUAAAUAGUCUUUUAAUUGAAGUCUAGUAUGAAUGGUUGGACAUGAAGUAAGCUGUUUUAGUGUUGGUUCUUGAAUUUUACUUUUAAGUGAAAAGGCUUAAAUUAAAUGGUGGGACGAUAAGACCCUAUAAAGCUUUACGCUUUACUCUUUAGUUGUAAGAGUUAAGGUUUCUUAUUCUCAUUGAAUAAAGCGUUUCGUUGGGGUGACGGGAAUAUAAAAAAUAGAAUAACUGUUUUUGUUUGAAAAAAUAUGUUUUUAUAGGUGAGUUGAUCCUUUGAUAAAGAUUAUAAGAUUUAAGUUACUUUAGGGAUAACAGCGUAAUUUAUCUUGAGAGUUCAUAUCGACAGAUAUAGUUGCGACCUCGAUGUUGAAUUAAAAUACCCCCAAGGUGUAGCAGUUUUGGAGGUGGGUCUGUUCGACCUUUAAAAU
RNAcentral lists this ribosomal RNA (511 nucleotides) under Caridina sp. 3 VDM-2020. RNAcentral's name for it is "partial large subunit ribosomal RNA". It matches the Rfam family "Bacterial large subunit ribosomal RNA", at positions 1834 to 2594 of the family's 2925-position model. The record is from RNAcentral. Lineage: Eukaryota; Metazoa; Arthropoda; Malacostraca; Decapoda; Atyidae.